RNAcentral lists this unclassified non-coding RNA (332 nucleotides) under fungal sp. RNAcentral's name for it is "partial internal transcribed spacer region". The stretch from base 1 to 46 matches the Rfam family "Eukaryotic small subunit ribosomal RNA", at positions 1786 to 1831 of the family's 1831-position model. Lineage: Eukaryota; Fungi. The record is from RNAcentral.
AAGUCGUAACAAGGUCUCCGUAGGUGAACCUGCGGAGGGAUCAUUAACAAAAGUUUACUAAACAUAAACUUUUUUAACAAACAAAUAGAAACAUUAAGGAAAACUAUAUAUUGAAAUAUAUAUAUAGCAACCUUAAGAUUCUCUCCCUAUUUUACAAUAUUUAUUAUUGUAAUUAGGCUAUUUCUUCUUAAUUAACCCCUUUCCAACUUCAUAUAUAUUAGUGUAAUACUACAUAUGUAUGAUAUAUCUGACUGAAUCUAUAUAUGUUAAUUCAUAUAUAAAUACUUAAGAUAAUCUAAGCACAACUCUUAGCAACGGAUAUCUUGGUUCUC